GGGUUCAUAGCUCAAUUGGCAGAGCAAUGCCCCUUUAAGGCAAAGGUUGCAGAUUCGAUUUCUGCUGGACCCACCA
Molecule: transfer RNA, 76 nt
Filed under: uncultured archaeon
Lineage: Archaea
Description: tRNA-Lys(ttt)
Rfam family: tRNA
About the family: Transfer RNA (tRNA) molecules are approximately 80 nucleotides in length.
Source: RNAcentral